RNAcentral lists this ribosomal RNA (253 nucleotides) under uncultured bacterium. RNAcentral describes it as "partial 16S ribosomal RNA". It matches the Rfam family "Bacterial small subunit ribosomal RNA", at positions 524 to 776 of the family's 1533-position model. The record is from RNAcentral.
UACGUAGGGGGCAAGCGUUGUCCGGAAUCAUUGGGCGUAAAGAGCGUGUAGGCGGCUCGGUAAGUCCGCUCUGAAAGCCCGGGGCUCAACCCCGGGAGGCGGGCGGAUACUGUCGAGCUAGAGUCCGGAAGAGGCGAGUGGAAUUCCUGGUGUAGCGGUGAAAUGCGCAGAUAUCAGGAGGAACACCAAUGGCGAAGGCAGCUCGCUGGGACGGCACUGACGCUGAGACGCGAAAGCGUGGGGAGCAAACGGG